RNAcentral lists this ribosomal RNA (512 nucleotides) under uncultured bacterium. RNAcentral describes it as "bacterial SSU rRNA". It matches the Rfam family "Bacterial small subunit ribosomal RNA", at positions 791 to 1319 of the family's 1533-position model. The record is from RNAcentral.
UAGUCCACGCCGUAAACGAUGAUUACUCGUUGUUGGCAAUACAUCGUCAGCGACUGAGCGAAAGCAUUAAGUAAUCCACCUGGGGAGUACGAUCGCAAGAUUGAAACUCAAAGGAAUUGACGGGGGCCCGCACAAGCGGAGGAACAUGUGGUUUAAUUCGAUGAUACGCGAGGAACCUUACCUGGGCUUAAAUGCAUAACGACGGACCGGGAAACUGGUCUUUCUUCGGACGGAAUGCAAGGUGCUGCAUGGUUGUCGUCAGCUCGUGCCGUGAGGUGUCGGGUUAAGUCCCAUAACGAGCGCAACCCUCAUCAUUAGUUGCCUUAUGGAACUCUAAAAAGACUGCCGGUUAUAAACCGGAGGAAGGCGGGGAUGACGUCAAGUCAGCAUGCCCCUUAAACCCUGGGCUACACACGUGCUACAAUGGACGAGACAAUGAGACGCCAAUCUGCGAAGAAUAGCUAAUCUAUAAACUCGUUCUAAGUUCGGAUUGUAGGCUGCAACUCGCCUGC